GACUGCUCAUCACCUCUGUUAGACAGAUAGCAGGCUAGUUACUGCUAGUGAAUGAGCUGGUUUAUUUAAUUAUUAGAGUCACAAUUUACCUUGUCCACACAUAGUGUUUUAUAAAACAGAAGCCCAACCUGCAAAAAAACACCACAAAAUAUAUGACCUGGUUCAUAUUACCUACCUAGCUAGCGCUCGCUAUCACUAGUGUAGCAUAUAAGUGCUGCCAGAGUUUCUUUUAGAUAUUAGAAGUAAUCUUGUACAAUGAAAAUAAUCUGUUUAACUCUUAAUUAGACAUAGAUACGACCAGAUCUGGCCUGAUGAAGUCUCUAAUCCGGCACACCAAAUUAAUUUCAAACAGAAUCAUCUUGUGGACUAUAAUUGAAUUGUAAAAUGUGGAAAAAAGAGAUCUAGUCUCUGUUAUUCCACAAGGGAGAAAUGUAGAGCAAUAAACUAAAGGCUAUAAAGUCUGCCAUGACAAAAUGUGCUAAUGAAAUGGAAUUCUUCAUUAUCAAGCAAGAGAUGUGAUGCUGUAACUAUGUCUCUUUCCAAAAAAGCCAGGUUAUUUAUUUUUCUUUGUAACUUUUAGAUAAAUGACGAGAGACGAAUACAUUUUAAAGGAGUUAUUGUCAUGUUGUUGGUCUACUAAACUGAUUUUUAACACAAGCGAGACACAGAUUCAUAUAUAACACUGGAUGCUUCACAGCGACUGCUGGUCUUGUUCAUAUUAUUUAAGACAGUUGGACUCCUCAUACUCCAGACUGUGUUACAGAAACGCGAAGCUGACCUGUGUGACAGCAUCUUCACAAUCCUUUACACCAAAUGUCAAGCUCAUUGUUUCAUGCUGUGGAACACGCACACAUUAUCAACGCUCCCAUGAGUCAGGCUUCUGAGUGUCAUUUUCACACUUUCACACUUUACGCGUACUUCACCCAUAAACGCAAUCCGUGAAUAAAAUCUCCUGACAUUUCACAACAAAGAUACGUUAUAUCCCACCAACACACUUCCUCUACCGUAUAUCAAACUUUUAUUUAUUUAUUUAUUUAUUUAUUAUUUUUUUCUCCCACUGUCCCCAUUACAUUCAUUCUCCUAAUCUUUCUUCAUAUCUUUCUUCCUCUCCCUCUCUUCCGCUGUGGUGUUGUAAUUGAGAAAGCAGCAUGGCCCAAGAGUCCAGUGUGUAAUCCACACUCUAUAAACACUCUAAUUGAAGUGCAAAUUCAAUAUUCCCUUAUCACUCUCUCGCUUUCAUUUUUCUAUCUGACUGGUAAUUACACAACGUCUGGCAAUCUAGUCAUCAAAAUGCACAUGACAAAUAAUCAAACUGCAUGAGAAAUACGGCUGGACCGCUUCCUGGAUUUGGUGUAAAUAGUGAUGAUAAAAAACAAAAAACAAACACAACAAGCAAACAAAAUACAACUGCAUAACACUUAAUUCCCAAGAAGAUUCAUUUUAUAUUCCUGGCUGUCUUUCUUUUCUUCAUUUUGCUCAUCUUUCGCUUGGCGUUCGUUUAGUUGUGUCCCUGGUGUGUGUUCCUGUUACAGUCUCUCGUCUUUAAUGUGCAGGUAACCAGAUUCCUUUCUCAAGUUGGGCUGUGUGGACUAAAGUGGGCAGGCAAAUAGAGAAUCCCUGUAGAGCUCAGUCUUCCCGUCCACCACAUGCUUAUUUGUGUUUAAUUUGGAUAGAGCUGCCAGGCUGCCAGCAUAGAUGUAAAGCCUGUGCCAGCCACGCCAACGAACUGGCCUCAGUCUUUUCAAUCAAGAGAAUCUGAGAGCAGCAGGGCCAAGAUCCAGAGCCAGGCUGAUAGACUGCGACAUGGAGCUGGUUCCAGGCAUCAGCGUUAUCAAGACGAGGGGAUCGGAGUUAAAUACACGGUUACCUAUUUUCACACUCUUCCUGUGUUCAUUUGGGUUUCGUCCCGAUGUUCAAAAACAAGCAUGAAGGUGGGCUUGCUGUGCUGAAUUACCCCAGGUGUGAAUGAUUGUGUGAAAGUGUGUGUGUGUGUGUGUGUGUGUGUGUGUGUGUGUGUGUGUGUGUGUGUGUAUUCUCCCCUAACAUGCAGUGUUCCUGGAAUAGGCUUUGAAUCUGUUGUGACACUGACAUAAUCGAAUGAAUGAAUGAAUGAUGAUGAUGCUAAAAUUCUUUCCAGGUUAUGUCAACAUUUGUCAAAACAAUUUACAUUUCAUAACAACUCACUGAGGAACACAACACACUGAGGAACACAACACACUGAGGAACACAACACACUGAACACCACAACACACAGAACACCACAACUCACAGAACACCACAACACACAGAACACCACAACUCACAGAACACCACAACACACAGAACACCACAACACACAGAACACCACAACACACAGAACACCACAACUCACAGAACACCACAACACACAGAACACCACAACUCACAGAACACCACAACUCACAGAACACCACAACACACAGAACACCACAACUCACAGAACACCACAACACACAGAACACCACAACUCACAGAACACCACAACUCACAGAACACCACAACUCACUGAGGAACACAACACACUGAGGAACACAACACACUGAACACCACAACACACAGAACACCACAACACACAGAACACCACAACACACAGAACACCACAACACACAGAACACCACAACUCACAGAACACCACAACACACAGAACACCACAACUCACAGAACACCACAACACACUGAGGAACACAACACACUGAGGAGCACAACACAGAGAGUCACAUACGUCUCCAUUAUCACUGUAAAUGAAUGGGCACAAAUUCCCACAGACAAACUCCAGAAUCUUGUAACCUUCCCAGAAGACAGGAGGCUGUUCAAGCCAUAAUGAGGACCUCUCUGUAUACUGCUCAUGGUUUUGGACUGGUCCAGUGUCCAACAAAAUCAUAUAUGUGUGACAGUGAGGUGUUCACUUGUUUUUUGGCCACGUCGUGCAUGAUCAGUGUACAGACUGAAGACAACAGAAGGAUCUACACAUCAGAAGGGCUGAAAGACUCCACA
This is a long non-coding RNA of Tachysurus vachellii, 3012 nucleotides long. RefSeq lists it as uncharacterized. The transcript has 3 exons. The record is from RefSeq and is a predicted model, not a curated record. NCBI's taxonomy places the organism in Eukaryota, Metazoa, Chordata, Actinopteri, Siluriformes, Bagridae.